This 346-nucleotide unclassified non-coding RNA is filed under the name Hevea brasiliensis (rubber tree). Lineage: Eukaryota; Viridiplantae; Streptophyta; Magnoliopsida; Malpighiales; Euphorbiaceae. The record is from RNAcentral.
GUCAAACCCAUUGGAGGUCUGGCUGUAAUUAUUUGGAGAAGCAUUAUUCCGAAUGAGUAUAUAUCAGAUUUUGUUCCCAACAUCCCAGUUUGCUGAUAUUCAGGAUCUAUAUAACAAAAUGUUCCCGCUGUUGAUGUCAUUCGGUACUGUGUCACGGAGUCAGCUAUAGAAGGGGGGACGAGCCUAGCUAAACCAACAUCGCUGAUCUUACUUACAUAGUUGCGGUCAAGCAAAAUGUUGCCAGGUUUCAGAUCCCUGUGCACUAGAGGUUCUGGCUUGGUCUGGUGAAGGAAAAGGAGGCUAGUUCCGACCUCUGCAGCUAUACGAAAUCUCAGUUGCCAAGGAA